This 414-nucleotide ribosomal RNA is filed under the name uncultured bacterium. Its description in RNAcentral is "bacterial SSU rRNA". It matches the Rfam family "Bacterial small subunit ribosomal RNA", at positions 356 to 772 of the family's 1533-position model. The record is from RNAcentral.
AGGGAAUUUUGGACAAUGGGCGAAAGCCUGAUCCAGCGACGCCGCGUGGGGGAUGAAGGCCUCCGGGUUGUAAACCCCUGUUGCGAGGGAAGAAGCCACCGCACGGAUGGUGACGGUAUCUCGCGAGGAAGCCCCGGCUAACUACGUGCCAGCAGCCGCGGUAAGACGUAGGGGGCAAGCGUUAUCCGGAUUCACUGGGCGUAAAGGGCGCGUAGGCGGCUAUGUAAGUCCGUUGUGAAAGCCCCGGGCUCAACUCGGGAACUGCGGCGGAUACUGCAUUGGCUAGAGGAUGGUAGAGGCUAGUGGAACUAGCGGUGUAGCGGUGAAAUGCGCAGAUAUCGCUAGGAACGCCGGUGGCGAAGGCGACUGGCUGGGCCACUCCUGACGCUGAGGCGCGAAAGCCAGGGGAGCGAA